Molecule: ribosomal RNA, 233 nt
Filed under: uncultured bacterium
Lineage: Bacteria
Description: partial 16S ribosomal RNA
Rfam family: Bacterial small subunit ribosomal RNA
Source: RNAcentral
CGGACGGGGGAGUAAUGUCUGGGAAACUAGCCUGAUGGAGGGGGAUAACUACUGGAAACGGUAGCUAAUACCGCAUAACGUCGCAAGACCAAAGAGGGGGACCUUAGGGCCUCUUGCCAUCGGAUGUGCCCAGAUGGGAUUAGCUAGUAGGUGGGGUAACGGCUCACCUAGGCGACGAUCCCUAGCUGGUCUGAGAGGAUGACCAGCCACACUGGAACUGAGACACGGUCCAG